GCUCUGAGUCUCUUCUGUUCCCUGGGAGCUGUGGGCGCAGAAAGAUUUCUAAACAGAGAAGUUACUCAGGACUGCAGUGUGGACUUCUUCUUCUUCUCUUCCUGGAUUGGUCACAUCUUCCUCACUGAUCUGCUCUUGUGAUUGGACAGUCCUGGAUUCAAGGACGUCUGGGGGGUCCACCCCUGCUUCCUGUCUUCCUGUUUCCUUCCUCAACACAGUGAGCACUUCUUGUCCCUUCACGACCGUCACCUGACUGGCUGGAGGCUUCACCUAUCCGUCACUGAAGAUUCAUAGACUUCGACGCCCACCAUGACCUGCUGACAUCAUUACCCCCUC
This 336-nucleotide long non-coding RNA is filed under the name Cottoperca gobio. RNAcentral describes it as "lncRNA (ENSCGOG00000016572.1)". The record is from RNAcentral. Lineage: Eukaryota; Metazoa; Chordata; Actinopteri; Perciformes; Bovichtidae.